CCUACGGGAGACAGCAGUGGGGGAUAUUGCACAAUGGGGGGAACCCUGAUGCAGCGACGCCGCGUGGGUGAAGGAGUGCUUCGGCAUGUAAAGCCCUAUCGGCAGGGAAGAAGCAAGACGGUACCUGACUAAGAAGCCCCGGCUAACUACGUGCCAGCAGCCGCGGUAAUACGUAGGGGGCGAGCGUUAUCCGGAUUCACUGGGUGUAAAGGGAGCGUAGACGGCCAUGCAAGCCAGGGGUGAAAGCCCGGGGCCCAACCCCGGGACUGCCCUUGGAACUGUGCGGCUAGAGUGCGGGAGGGGCAGGCGGAAUGCCUGGUGUAGCGGUGAAAUGCGUAGAGAUCAGGAGGAACACCGGCGGCGAAGGCGGCCUGCUGGACUGCGACUGACGUUGAGGCUCGAAAGCGUGGGGAGCGAACAGGAUUAGAUACCCUUGUAGUC
Molecule: ribosomal RNA, 441 nt
Filed under: uncultured bacterium
Lineage: Bacteria
Description: partial 16S ribosomal RNA
Rfam family: Bacterial small subunit ribosomal RNA
Source: RNAcentral